GUGUGCUGGUGGUUGUACCACAGGAUUGUGCAUGCGUCUAGUGUGGUAGAGCCAUAGGCUUUUUAUCACCGCUGGCUAGCCUGCUUCCAGGUGAAAAAGAAAGCCGAGUGAGUAAGUCUUUCUGCCAGUACAUAGCCUCUGCACUAUUCAAGACUUCUGCAAUGCCUCCACGCGACGGCACACGGUAACUAGGGUCUAGUACCCUAGGCAUAAUUGUAGAGGAUCUCGGAGCAGCAAGGGCCCCAGAGAUGCAGUGUGUAGGCCCACCGGCGUGUGGAUAUGCCCUAGCACUCAUCAACCUUGCCCCAGCUAUGGGUAAAUAGUUGGUUAGAUGAAGAUCAUAGCUCUGUUAAAGCAGUUCAUCUAAGAGAAGGACAACUUGAUACAAAACCAAUGGCUAGAUGGGAGUCAUAAGCUCUGGUUAGCAGCUUAUCUAGAGGAAGGAAACCUUGAUUAAUAAAUCCCUGGCCCUCCUGGUAAGGGGGUUUGGCGUCAGGCUAAUCACCUUGCCCUGUAAAAAAAAGCUGAUUACAGAAACUAAUACAGUCGAUAAACAUGCUUGCCCUUCUAGGGUUGGAGCAGAAGUUGGUUUUAAUGCAACUGACCGCCAUGUGAUGCAGAGAAUGACGUCUAAUAAACCGAUACCACUGUUUUCGCCCAAAAAAGUCACCAAAGUUGCACAAUGGAAUGUACGCACAAUGUAUGAAUGUGGAAAAUGUGCUCAUAUAGCAAAGGAGAUGAGAAAUUAUGAUAUAAACAUACUUGGCAUAAGUGAGGCAAGAUGGAACCAAAGUGGAGUUUUGACACUGGUAACAGGUGAGGAGAUUCUAUACUCGGGAAACCCAAAUGAAAAUGAUUACCACACCAAAGGAGUAGCAAUAAUGCUUUCAAACACAUCAAAGAAGAGCCUGAUGGAAUGGGAACCAGUAAGUGAGAGAAUAAUGUGGGUGAGACUAAAAGCUAAAUGCCAAAACAUAACUAUCAUACAGUGUUAUGCACCAACCAAUGAUGCCGAAGAUGAUGUAAAGGAAUGUUUUUAUGAACAACUACAACAUGUUUGGGACAACAUCCCCAAAAGAGACAUCAAAAUAGUCAUGGGUGAUAUGAAUGCUAAGAUUGGAAAAGAGAACAAGGACAGAGAGAAAACACUAGGAAAAC
This 1158-nucleotide long non-coding RNA is filed under the name Mytilus galloprovincialis (Mediterranean mussel). Lineage: Eukaryota; Metazoa; Mollusca; Bivalvia; Mytilida; Mytilidae. The record is from RNAcentral.